Molecule: ribosomal RNA, 598 nt
Filed under: uncultured Luteibacter sp.
Lineage: Bacteria; Pseudomonadati; Pseudomonadota; Gammaproteobacteria; Lysobacterales; Rhodanobacteraceae
Description: bacterial SSU rRNA
Rfam family: Bacterial small subunit ribosomal RNA
Source: RNAcentral
CACCUGGGGAUUACUUGGUGCGUAAAGCGUUGCGUAGGCGGUUUGUUAGUCUGCUGUGAAAUCCCCGGGCUCAACCUGGGAAUGGCAGUGGAUACUGGCAGGCUAGAGUGUGUCAGAGGGUGGUGGAAUUCCCGGUGUAGCGGUGAAAUGCGUAGAGAUCGGGAGGAACAUCAGUGGCGAAGGCGGCCACCUGGGACAACACUGACGCUGAGGCACGAAAGCGUGGGGAGCAAACAGGAUUAAAUACCCUGGUAGUCCACGCCCUAAACGAUGCGAACUGGAUGUUGGUCUCAACUCGGAGAUCAGUGUCGAAGCUAACGCGUUAAGUUCGCCGCCUGGGGAGUACGGUCGCAAGACUGAAACUCAAAGGAAUUGACGGGGGCCCGCACAAGCGGUGGAGUAUGUGGUUUAAUUCGAUGCAACGCGAAGAACCUUACCUGGCCUUGACAUGUCCGGAAUCCUGCAGAGAUGCGGGAGUGCCUUCGGGAAUCGGAACACAGGUGCUGCAUGGCUGUCGUCAGCUCGUGUCGUGAGAUGUUUGGGUUUAGUCCCGCAACGAGCGCAACCCUUGUCCUUAGUUGCCAAUCAUGUAAUGGGU